AUUGAACGCUGGCGGCAGGCUUAACACAUGCAAGUCGAGCGGUAGCACAAGAGAGCUUGCUCUCUGGGUGACGAGCGGCGGACGGGUGAGUAAUGUCUGGGAAACUGCCUGAUGGAGGGGGAUAACUACUGGAAACGGUAGCUAAUACCGCAUAACGUCGCAAGACCAAAGAGGGGGACCUUCGGGCCUCUUGCCAUCAGAUGUGCCCAGAUGGGAUUAGCUAGUAGGUGGGGUAAUGGCUCACCUAGGCGACGAUCCCUAGCUGGUCUGAGAGGAUGACCAGCCACACUGGAACUGAGACACGGUCCAGACUCCUACGGGAGGCAGCAGUGGGGAAUAUUGCACAAUGGGCGCAAGCCUGAUGCAGCCAUGCCGCGUGUAUGAAGAAGGCCUUCGGGUUGUAAAGCACUUUCAGCGAGGAGGAAGGUGGUGAACUUAAUACGUUCAUCAAUUGACGUUACUCGCAGAAGAAGCACCGGCUAACUCCGUG
This 490-nucleotide ribosomal RNA is filed under the name uncultured bacterium. RNAcentral's name for it is "partial 16S ribosomal RNA". It matches the Rfam family "Bacterial small subunit ribosomal RNA", at positions 30 to 507 of the family's 1533-position model. The record is from RNAcentral.